UACAGAGGUCCCGAGCGUUGUUCGGAUUCACUGGGCGUAAAGGGUGCGCAGGUGGGUUUGCAAGUUUGAUGUGAAAGCCCCGGGCUUAACCCGGGAAUGGCAUUGAAUACUGCAGAUCUGGAGGAUUGGAGGGGGGACUGGAAUUCUUGGUGUAGCAGUGAAAUGCGUAGAUAUCGUAAGGAAGACCAGUGGCGAAGGCGGGUCUCUGGACAGUUCCUGACGCUGAGGCACGAAGGUCAGGGGAGCAAACGGG
This 253-nucleotide ribosomal RNA is filed under the name uncultured prokaryote. Its description in RNAcentral is "partial 16S ribosomal RNA". It matches the Rfam family "Bacterial small subunit ribosomal RNA", at positions 524 to 776 of the family's 1533-position model. The record is from RNAcentral.